CGGAUGCCUUGGCGGUUUUGGCCUAGGAAGGACGUUUGUAUACCAACGAUAUCGUCGGUUAGGCGGUUAGCAGCCUGCGAUCCGGCGGUUUCCGAAUGGGGUAACCCUCCCCCGAUAAUAUCGGGGGAAGGCAAUAGUGAAAGUUCUGUCCAAAAGACAGAAAAAUAGCUGUUGUCAGGGCACCGGGCGAACUGAAACAUCUAAGUAGCCCGAGGAAAAGAAAUCAAUUACGAGAUUCCGUCAGUAGCGGCGAGCGAAAGCGGAAGAGUCUAAACCCCGCCUUUGGCGGGGGGUUGCAGGGCUUCCAAUAUGGGAUGAAAGGAAGGUAACAGAACUGCCUGGAAUGGCAGACCACAGAGAGUGAAAGUCUCGUACGUAAAACCCGAAUUUCCCCUAGGGAGUACCUAAGUACCACGAAGCACGGCAAAACUUCGUGGGAAUCUGGGUGGUCCACCAUCCAAGACUAAACACCAAAACCGACCGAUAGUGAACUAGUACCGUGAGGGAAAGGUUAAAAGUACGCAGGUAAUGCGAGUGAAAUAGUACCUGAAAUUGUCGACUAACAAACAGCGAGAGUCCCGAUUUAUCGUGGAUGAUCGCGUGCCUAUUGAAGAAUGAACCGAUGAGUUGCCGUCCUUUCUUUUGUCUAAGCGAGUAUCUCGCGGAGGCACAGUGAAAGCGAGCCCUAAACGGGCGAAUUAUAGAGAGAGUACGGCAGACCCGAAACCGGGUGAGCUAAGCAUGGACAGGGUGAAUCCCGACGAAAGUCGGGAAGAGGCCCGAACCCGUUGUUGUUGCAAAAACAUGGGAUGAUCUGUGCUUAGGGGUAAUAUGCCAAUCGAACCCGGAGAUAGCUGGUUCUCCUCGAAAUAUAUUUAGGUAUAGCAUUCCGAUUUUGCCCAGGGGUAGAGCACUAGAUGGGAUAUCAAGCUUUUAGCGAGAUAUCUCAAUUAAACUCCGAAUACUGGUAGCAUUUUGUCGGAAUAGUCAGUCCGGCUCGGCUAAGCGAGUCAGGUCAAGCGGGGAAACAACCCAAACUCCCAAUUAAGGCCCCUAAAUUUUAGCUAAGUUGUAAAGGAAGUGAGAUUUCCCAGACACCCAGGAGGUUGGCUUAGAAGCAGCCAUCCUUCAAAGAGUGCGUAACAGCUCACUGGAUGAGAAAUCUCGCGCCGAAAAUGAACGGGGAUAAGCUAAAUGCCGAAAUUGGAGUCCCGCCUCUGGCGGGAGGUAGAGGAGCGUUCCUGUUGCAGUGAAGCUCAUUCCGUAAGGGAGGGUGGAGCGGCAGGAAGUGAGAAUGUCGGUAUGAGUAGCGAGAGUCCGAUGAAAAUUCGGACCGCCGUAAGCCCAAGGUUUCCGUCCCAACGUUCAUCGGGGACGGGUUAAUCGGAUCUAAGGCGAGUCCCUCCGAUUCGGAGGGGGUAGCUCGAUGUACAAGCCGUAGAAAUUCGGCUAUAGCUUUGAGAAGUUUCCUAGGGGAUGACGAGAUUGGAGCAGCGGAGUCUCGUACACACGGGAUUUAAAUCAUAAGAUAGUGAUAAUCGGAAAAUCCAUUAUUGCGUUUAAUCGAGUGAUGACGGAGAGUUCAAUGUUGAAAGACUGCGGACAAUUCCGCACGUUUCAGUGUCCAAGAAAAAUCUCACAGGCCCUCCGAUUCGGAGGGAAAUCUCAAGGUUUCCGUACCGCAAACCGACACAGGUGGGCUGGUAGAGUAUACUAAGGCGAACGGGAGAAAACGGUUCAAGGAACUCGGCAAAACAGCUGGGCGUAACCUAUGGGAGAUGCCCUGCCCCGAUUUAUCGGGGCCGCAGCAAAUGACGCUAACCGACUGUUUAACUAAAACACAGGUCUCUGCAAAGCCGAAAGGCAACGUAUAGGGGCUGACGCCUGCCCAGUGCACGAAGGUUAAGAUUCUUGGGUGACUCUCCAAAAGAGAUAAGCUUAGGACUCAAGCCCGUGUGAACGGCAGCAGUAACUAUAACUGUUCUAUGGUAGCGAAAUUCCUUGUCGGGUAAGUUCCGACCCGCACGAAAGGCAGAACGAGUUAGCGACUGUCUUGAGCCGUUACCCGGCGAAAUUGAAAUGGCUGUGAAGAUGCGGCCUACUUGCACCUGGACAAAAAGACCCCGUGGAGCUUUACUGUAGCUUGGCAUUGGGAAGACGUUUGAAACUGUCGAGAAUAGGAGGGACCCCGCACCAUCCGGUGCAGGGAUCAGUGGAAUACCUCUCUUUUUAAUCGUCAACCCUAAUCUCUUGGCCGCUCAAACAACCGGCAGGGAGACAGUGUCUGGUGGGCAGUUUCGCUGGGGAGGUGGCCUCCAAAAGUGUAACGGAGGCGUACAAAGGUCGGCUUAUCCCGGAUGGAAAUCGGGAUGUAAGUGCAAACGCAAAAGCCGGCUUGACUGAGAGACUUACAAGUCGAACAGGCGCGAAAGCGGGUGUUAGUGAUCCUCGGAUCCGCCGUGGUUGCGGACCGAGCUUAACGGAUAAAAGCUACCCCGGGGAUAACAGGCUGAUCGGGCCCGAGAGUCCAUAUCGACGGCCCGGUUUGGCACCUUAUGCAAUAAGCAUCGGGGUGCCUGUGCAGUAAUGUACAAGUCUGGUCCCGAAUUGCACCUAACCCAUGCAAUUCGCGGAAAAAAUUUACUAGUCCAAAUCGGUGAACUCCUUCUCCGCCAAAUGGCGGAUCAGGACAACACCGAGGGAAUCCUUCGUUCUGAUGAACUCAGGACGGGGACCCGUAUCGACUGAUUCCCGAUACAAUUGUAUCGAGGAUGAGAUAGAAGUUCUUAAUAAAAAUUUUCCUUCUAUCAUACGGCUAGCCCCUCCGAAUCGGAGGGUGAAGGUAUAGUCAACAUCUUCCGGUAACGGAAGAACAAACGACAAGCGAUGUCGGCUCAUCCUAUCCUGGAGGUGGAGAAGCUUCCAAGGGUCCGGCUGUUCGCCGGUUAAAAGGGUACGCGAGCUGGGUUCAGAACGUCGUAAGACAGUAGACCAAUAAUGGUACGACAUCAUUAUUAAUUAGAGCUGUCUUUCCUUCAACGUUUUGGACAAUAAGAGGAAAUGAAGGAGAUCGCCCGUCCAGGGCGAAAUAAAUCUGGCUAAAUGCUGGAAAAUCCGAAGAAUCGUGUGAUACUUGAGAAGUAAUUAAAAUAGAGAUAACAUAUCUCUAUGAUCUCAAGUGAUAACUCAUCACGUGCGGACAAUCAGCAGGUAACCGAAGAAAAAAUAUCUAAUGAAUAUCUUUGUGGCUUUGUAGAUGGUGAGGGAUGUUUCUAUGUAGGAUUUGGAAAACGUACAGAUCUUCCAUUAAAAUGGCAGAUUAUUACAGAAUUCCAUUUAAGUCAAAAUCCGGGAGGGAAGAAUGUUCUCGAAACAUUUAUAAAAAGAUUAGGUUGCGGAUAUUUAAAACCUAACCACCCUGGAAGUCUAAAAGACAAGACGUGGGUUUUAAUUGUAAAAGAUAGAAAGGAUAUAAAAAAUAAAUUAAUUCCUUUCUUUUUGGAACAUCCAUUACAGACUAUAAAGAGAUUAGAAUUUUUAAUAUUUAAACAGGUAAUUGAGGUAAUAGAAAAUAAGCAACAUUUGAAUGAAAACGGAUUCAGAAGAAUAGUUGAACUCGUUUUCAGUUUGCCUAGAUCUACAAAUAAAAGAUAUUCUAAAGAUAAACUUCUUCGGCACCUCAGAGACUAUAUGCCAGACCCCACCAUGGCGGGGAAGAUAUAGUCCGAACUGUAUGGCGACAUGCAGAGUAUGGCAGAAAUGUCCAUACUCCUGAUGUAAUCAGGAUAACAAAUUGUCGGUCUCUAUCCGGUGCAAGCGUUAGAUACUUGAGGGGAGCUCUUGCUAGUACGAGAGGACUGCGAGGGAGGAAUCCCUGGUGUGCCAGUUGUGGGACUGAGUCCUGCAGCAAGCUGGAUAGCUACAUUCCUACGGGAUAAGCGCUGAAAGCAUCUGAAGCGCCAAGCCCACCCCAAGAUAAGGUAUCUUUAUGAGACCCCUUGUAGACUACAAGGUUGAUAGGCGGAAAGUGUACGCACCGCAAGGUGUUUAGCUCAUCCGUACUAAUUGGUCCAGAGU
This 4077-nucleotide ribosomal RNA is filed under the name Candidatus Gottesmanbacteria bacterium RIFCSPHIGHO2_01_FULL_42_27. Its description in RNAcentral is "bacterial LSU rRNA". The stretch from base 1 to 3037 matches the Rfam family "Bacterial large subunit ribosomal RNA". Lineage: Bacteria; Candidatus Gottesmaniibacteriota. The record is from RNAcentral.